RNAcentral lists this ribosomal RNA (407 nucleotides) under uncultured bacterium. RNAcentral's name for it is "partial 16S ribosomal RNA". It matches the Rfam family "Bacterial small subunit ribosomal RNA", at positions 30 to 526 of the family's 1533-position model. The record is from RNAcentral.
AUUGAACGCUGGCGGCAGGCCUAACACAUGCAAGUCGAGCGGAGCGGCGGAAGGGUGAGUAAUGCCAAGGAAUCUGCCUGGUAGUGGGGGAUAACGUCCGGACACGGGCGCUAAUCCCGCAUACUAUCAGAUGAGCCUAGGUCGGCUUAGCUAGGUGGGGGGGUAAAGGCCUACCAAGGCGAAGAUCCGUAACGGGUCUGAGAGGAUGAUCAGUCACACUGGAACUGAGACACGGUCCAGACUCCUACGGGAGGCAGCAGUGGGGAAUAUUGGACAAUGGGCUAAAGCCUGAUCCAGCCAUGCCGCGUGUGUGAAGAAGGUCUUCGGAUUGUAAAGCACUUUAAGUUGGGAGGCGUUACCAACAGAAUAAGCACCGGCUAACUUCGUGCCAGCCGCCGCGGUAAUAC